CCUACGGGAGGCAGCAGUGGGGAAUAUUGGGCAAUGGGCGCAAGCCUGACCCAGCAACGCCGCGUGAAGGAAGAAGGCUUUCGGGUUGUAAACUUCUUUUAGCAGGGACGAAGCAAGUGACGGUACCAGAUGAAUAAGCCACGGCUAACUACGGGCCAGCAGCCGCGGUAAUACGUAGGUGGCAAGCGUUAUCCGGAUUUACUGGGUGUAAAGGGCGUGUAGGCGGGAGUGCAAGUCAGAUGUGAAAACUAUGGGCUCAACCCAUAGCCUGCAUUUGAAACGGUACUUCUUGAGUGCUGGACAGGCCAUCGGAAUUCCGUGUGUAGCGGUGACAUGCGUUGAUCUCCGGAG
RNAcentral lists this ribosomal RNA (351 nucleotides) under uncultured bacterium. RNAcentral describes it as "partial 16S ribosomal RNA". It matches the Rfam family "Bacterial small subunit ribosomal RNA", at positions 338 to 703 of the family's 1533-position model. The record is from RNAcentral.